Molecule: ribosomal RNA, 367 nt
Filed under: Allorhogas parvus
Lineage: Eukaryota; Metazoa; Arthropoda; Insecta; Hymenoptera; Braconidae
Description: partial 16S ribosomal RNA
Source: RNAcentral
UUUUAAGUCCAAUCUGCCCAAUGAAUUUAUUUUAAUGGCUGCAGUAUAAAUAACUGUACUAAGGUAGCAUAAUAAUUUGUUUUUUAAUUAAAAACUAGUAUAAAAGAUUUAAUGAAAUAUAGACUUUAUUAACUUUAAAAAUUAAAUUUAUUAUUUAAGUAAAAAAACUUAAAUUUUAUUAAAAGACAACAAGACCCUAUAAAAUUUAAUUUUAUUAUUUAUAUAUUAAAUUUAUAAUAAUAAUAAAAUUUAAUUGGGGUAAUUAAAAAAUUAAAUAAACUUUUUUAAAUUAAUCCAUAAAUUAAUGAAAAUAUUACCUUUAAAAUUAAAAUUAUCAAAAUUAAUUACUUUAGGGAUAACAGCAUAA